AGAGUUUGAUCAUGGCUCAGAACGUACGCUGGCGGCACGCCUAACACAUGCAAGUCGAACGAAGUAGCAAUACUUAGUGGCAGACGGGUGAGUAACAUGUGGGUAUCUGCCCUUUGGCCUGGAAUAACACGAGGAAACUUGUGCUAAUACCGGAUAAGUCUUUACGGAGAAAGCUUUAUGCACCAUUGGAUGAGCCCGCACUUGAUUAGUUUGUUGGUGGGGUAAUGGCCUACCAAGACUGUGAUCAAUAGCUGAUUUGAGAGGAUGAUCAGCCACAUUGGGACUGAGACACGGCCCAAACUCCUACGGGAGGCAGCAGUGGGGAAUCUUGCACAAUGGAGGAAACUCUGAUGCAGCGAUGCCGCGUGAGUGAAGAAGGCCCUUGGGUUGUAAAGCUCUUUCGUCGGGGAAGAAAAUGACUGUACCCGAAUAAGAAGGUCCGGCUAACUUCGUGCCAGCAGCCGCGGUAAUACGAAGGGACCUAGCGUAGUUCGGAAUUACUGGGCUUAAAGAGUUCGUAGGUGGUUGAAAAAGUUAGUGGUGAAAUCCCAGAGCUUAACUCUGGAACUGCCAUUAAAACUUUUCAGCUAGAGUAUGAUAGAGGAAAGCAGAAUUUCUAGUGUAGAGGUGAAAUUCGUAGAUAUUAGAAAGAAUACCAAUUGCGAAGGCAGCUUUCUGGAUCAUUACUGACACUGAGGAACGAAAGCAUGGGUAGCGAAGAGGAUUAGAUACCCUCGUAGUCCAUGCCGUAAACGAUGUGUGUUAGACGUUGGAAAUUUAUUUUCAGUGUCGCAGCGAAAGCGAUAAACACACCGCCUGGGGAGUACGACCGCAAGGUUAAAACUCAAAUGAAUUGACGGGGACCCGCACAAGUAGUGGAGCAUGUGGUUUAAUUCGAAGAUACGCGCAGAACCUUACCAACACUUGACAUGUUCGUCGCGACUCUAAGAGAUUAGAGUUUUCGGUUCGGCCGGACGAAACACAGGUGCUGCAUGGCUGUCGUCAGCUCGUGUCGUGAGAUGUUGGGU
This 1028-nucleotide ribosomal RNA is filed under the name marine metagenome. RNAcentral describes it as "bacterial SSU rRNA". It matches the Rfam family "Bacterial small subunit ribosomal RNA", at positions 8 to 1080 of the family's 1533-position model. The record is from RNAcentral.